UUUUACGGUUUUUCGAGACAGGGUUUCUCUGUGCAGCCCUGCCUGUCCUGGAUCUCACUCUGUACACCAGGCUGGCCUUAAACUCAUAGAAAUCCACCUGCCUCUGCCUCGCAAGUGCUGGGAUUAAAGGCAUGUGGCCCCCCCUUUUUUUUAAGAGAGAGAAAGUCUCUCUCUGUAGACCAGGCUGACCUUGAACUCACAGAGAUGCUUCUGCCUCCUGAGCUCUGGGAUUAAAGGUGUGCGCCACCGUGACCACCUUAUUUUCAACCUUUUGACUUUGUCAUGCUGAACAAGGGUUUUUGUGUCCUGUGUUUCCAUUCUUCUUGGGCUAUUCCUGCAGCGGAAUUCCCAGAUACUACAGUAAUUGUUUAGCUUUUUAUUUUCAUCUCUGUGUGUGUACCUGUGCACCACAGAACAGUGUUGCAGAAUGUGUUUAACUAUGCAAAGAUGUGUUGCUGUGUUACCUUGCCUGCCUAAGGCAUCUGAUUGGUCUAAUAAAAAGCUGAACAACAGCCAAUAGCGAGGGAGGAGGGAUCGGUGGGCCUUCUGGGCAAGGAGGGUAAGUAGGAGGAGGAAUUUAAGCCAAAAGGGAAGAAAGAAAAAGAGACACGAGGUGUAACAGGCUUCCUUAGACCGCCAGCCCCCAAAUCAGAACACAGGGACUUACUAUAUUAAUUAUGAAUGCCCGUCCUUAGCUUAGGCUUUUUUCUAGCUAGUUUUGUUUUUAACUUAAAUUAUUCCAUUUCUGAUCAUCUAUGUGUGGUCCUGAGGCUCGUUUACCUCAUCUCCUGCUGUCCAUCCUGCUUUCAAGCUUCCUCUGUGCCUGGCUGACUGUCCUCCGGUUGGCUGGCCCCCUUUUCUCUCUGCCCGCCAGCCCCACCGAUCCCUCCUCUGCCGAGCUAUUGGCCAUUCAGCUUUUUAUUAGACCAAUCAGGUGCCUUAGUCAGGCAAGGUAAAACAGUAACACAUCUUUACAUAGUUAAACGAUUAUUCUGCAACACAUCUUUACAUAGUUAAACCAAUAUUCUGUUCCACAAAAGCCAGGGAGACUCCAGGGGCCAGCCAGACAUGGAGGAAGCAGGAAAGUAGGACACACGGAAUGAAAGAAAGGUAAAAAGCCCUGAGGCAGAACAUAGAUGAAUAGAAACAAGUUAAAUUAAGUUAAAAGAGCCAGUGGGACAAGCCCAAGCUAAGGCUGAGCACUCAUAAUUAAUAUUAAGUCUCCAUGUCUUUAUAUGGGAGCUGGUUGGUGGUCAUAAGAAAAUUCCAACUACAGAAUGGGGUGUCGGAUCCCUGAGGCUGGAGCUACAGUGGUCGUGAGGUAGCACGUGGUUCUGGGAACCAGAAGGGCCCUCUUAGCACCAAGCUGUCUCUCCAGACACUGUUUGUCCGAAGCCCCCUGCCAGCCUCACUCCCACGGGCGGCCUCUCUCCCAGCAGCCCUUAGGAAUUCUCGUUUCUGGUCCUGUCUGGAGCUGGGUGGUGAGUCCUGGUCCUGGGGCCACAUGCUCAAGGCAGCACUUCUUUUUCUCAGACUGCCCUCCCUGUCACCCACUGCCCUGAGGAACAACAGGACCGUGCCAGGAGCCACACAGCCACCCCGUUGAGUCAGCCUGCCACCCACGCCAGGGCCCUUCCACUGUUCCCGUUUAGCUCACCCCUCACCUAGGCCAGGGCUCUCUCCUUAGGCCUUCUCCUCUCCCCUCGCCUCCCUCCCCAGGUCCUGCCUGCCCUGUCUUCCCACCCCCCUCAUCUGCCAUUCCUUCCUGCCCUGAUAUCCCUCCUGGGCCCGGCUCUGGUCACAGGCCCCAAGUCAUAUCUCCUUUUGCUCAUAGGCAUGGCAUCGCUGUCCAACUUGGCAACUGGUGGCCCCUCACCUCAGGAUACCCUUCUCGUUGUUGAGACACCUGGCUGCUCCGUCCUCUGUUCUGUUCCAGAAACGCUGUGACGACAGCUUGGUCUGGCAAGGAGACACCCUCGAGCGGACAGUCACUUCCUGCGUCGCCUGUUCCCUCGCUGGCCAAGGGCCUGGGAAUGUUCCCCUCCAGAGCUGAAUUAUGGGACUAAGAAUGUAACACCUCCUACCACUCAAAAUGCAAGCCCUCCAACAGGCCCCAGUUAGCACAUCCGACUCCAUGGUGAACGUACCGUUCAGGUCCUAAACUCAGCAGGCAGACAGCAGCCCCCGUCAAAAUGAAAACACAGGCCUCAUCCACCAAAGGCCACAGUUCUGGGACAGUCCCUGAAUGUACUGACCUCGCUUUUUGGCUUCUGUGGUUCUGCUUCUGGCUAACUGUUCUUGCUAACUGAGGCAUGUCACCCCAGGACAUGGCCUUUGGGCUUGAAAGCCCAGGCUGAGAAAGACUCAGGGCUACAGUGGGAUCCCGAGCACCCAGUCACCAGCUGACUAAUAAAUAAAGACUUUCUGUGGUCUUGAA
Long non-coding RNA from Peromyscus eremicus (cactus mouse), 2437 nucleotides. RefSeq lists it as uncharacterized. The transcript has 2 exons. NCBI's taxonomy places the organism in Eukaryota, Metazoa, Chordata, Mammalia, Rodentia, Cricetidae. The record is from RefSeq and is a predicted model, not a curated record.